RNAcentral lists this unclassified non-coding RNA (906 nucleotides) under uncultured fungus. RNAcentral describes it as "sequence contains 18S rRNA gene, ITS1, 5.8S rRNA gene, ITS2, 28S rRNA gene". The stretch from base 223 to 906 matches the Rfam family "Eukaryotic large subunit ribosomal RNA", at positions 1 to 961 of the family's 3401-position model. The record is from RNAcentral. Lineage: Eukaryota; Fungi.
GGAAGGAUCAUUUGCACUUUUUUUAAAAAAAAACUAAAUUAAUUUAAUUUUCUAUGGUUUAUAGUUCAGUUCAAUUAACGAUGAAGGUCUUGGCAAAAUAAGUUUUUAUUUAAUUGCGAGAUAUUGUGAUAUAAAAUUACCUAACGCAUACGCUCUAAUAGUUUUUCAUAAUUUAAUUAAGUUUAUCAUAUUAAUGAUAAUUUUUUAUUUAUGUUUUACAUAUUCUUAUGAUAAACUAUAGGUUACUCGCUGAAUUUAAGCAUAUUAAUAAGCGAAGGAAAAUAAAUAAAACUAGAUUCAAUUAGUAAUGGCGAAUGAACAUUGAAUAUACAUCUAUUCAUAAUCUUAAUUUUAAUUAGUUGGAAUACUAAUUUUCAAAAGGUUACAAACCUGUAUAAAUUAAGUUUGUGUAUUUAAAUAAAGUAAUAGUGAAUUAUAUUUCACUAUAAAAGACAAUUACACAAUUGUUAAGUAUAAAUAUAUUAUUGAAUCUGAUAGCAAAAAAGUACCGUGAGGGAACACUGAAAAGAACUUUGAAAAGAGAGUUAAAAGUACUUUAAACCAUACAAAAAUAAGUUUUCGAAUAGAUGUUUACAUUUCUAUUAAUAUAUUAAUUAUUAAUUUUCUAUUUGAAUAUCCCGUCUUGAAACACGGACCAAGGAGUCUAAAGGGUAUGCAAGUUUUACAAAUUAUGGCAUAAGGAAACUAAAGGUUGCAUUUAUUUCGAUUUUUGCAGCACAUUUAGCGUAAACUUUAGGACCCGAAAGGUGGUGAACUAUUCCUGGGUAAGGUGAAGUCAGGGGAAACUCUGAUGGAGGCUUGUAGCAAUACUGACGUGCAAAUCGUUUGCAGAACUUGGGUAUAGGGGCGAAAGACUAAUCGAACCACCUAGUAGCUGGUUCCCUU